Meriones unguiculatus (Mongolian gerbil) is the source of this 1008-nucleotide long non-coding RNA. RefSeq lists it as uncharacterized. The record is from RefSeq and is a predicted model, not a curated record. NCBI's taxonomy places the organism in Eukaryota, Metazoa, Chordata, Mammalia, Rodentia, Muridae. The transcript is spliced from 3 exons.
UGGUAAUCAGCUCCAGCCAUUUCUGCUACAGCAUCUAAUCAGAUAUUGGCUUCCUGUCCUCCCUCUUUCUUGCCAGCUGGAUGGCUGCCUUCCCAUCCUGCCUGUCCCAGCUUUGGAUAGAGGUCACAGUGAAGUUGUUCAUUUUUACCACUCUCGAGUGGAUGAUCGGGAACGAGGUUUGUCUAGGUCGACAAGCGUGCAUGUAACACCUUGUUGAAUGUGUAAUACCACCUUCUCUGCCCGCCUGUCGACACGGAGUCCUGCUUUAUUACACCAAACACAGAUCUCAUUAACAGUCACUGCGCAUCGUCUACCUGCCACCACUCUUCCAGAAGCCUGAUGCUAAGGACCGCACUCACCUAUGGGGGCUUGGCUUACUUGCCAGUUCUCUUAGGAGCUUGGCACCAACAUCGUUUCUCAUAAGCCCAUGGGUUCACUGGGCUCAGAUGGCUCUCUCUGCUCAAACCUUCCUCCCAGGACUCAAGAACCGCUUUCAAGUUCCCUCCAAACCAUGGUACGCCCUGAUAUCACUAAGAACAACAGAGUACAUUUGUAUACUGACAGAGAAGGCUGGUGAGGUGUUUGAGCAGUCACAAGAUUCUGAGCCCAGUCUUCAGAUACACCACCCUGACCUGUGUGCCCGGGGACAUCACCGUGGAGUCGUCAAAGAAAUGCUUCGCCAUUCCAGAUGAGAUUGAAUUAAGACAUAAUGAAUGUCUGGCUUAGUGUGAGCAUAAACAACAAAGAGAACUCUCAGUUUAAUCGGGGUGUUAAACCUAUCCGAGACCGAAGACAUUGUCUUAGUUACCUCUGAGGCGCUGUUAGCCUUGUUUUCUUUUGUUUCAUUUUGUUUGUGGGAGGUAUUUAUUUGUUUGAGUUCUCCUGGAACUCACUCUGCAGACCAGGCUGGCCUUGAACUCAGAGAUUCACCUCAUUCAGUCUCCUGAGUGCUAGCAUUAAAGGUGUGUGCCACCACACCUGGCUCUGAGAAGUUGUUGUUCUGAUUCU